UACAGAGGUCCCGAGCGUUGUUCGGAUUCACUGGGCGUAAAGGGUGCGUAGGUGGCUGGACAAGUUUGAUGUGAAAGCUCAGGGCUUAACCCUGAAAUGGCAUUGAAUACUGUCGAGCUGGAGGUUUGGAGGGGGGACUGGAAUUCUUGGUGUAGCAGUGAAAUGCGUAGAUAUCAAGAGGAACACCAGUGGCGAAGGCGAGUCCCUGGACAACACCUGACACUGAGGCACGAAAGCUAGGGGAGCAAACAGG
RNAcentral lists this ribosomal RNA (253 nucleotides) under uncultured bacterium. RNAcentral describes it as "partial 16S ribosomal RNA". It matches the Rfam family "Bacterial small subunit ribosomal RNA", at positions 524 to 776 of the family's 1533-position model. The record is from RNAcentral.